GUGCUUGUUUCAGCAGUACAUAUACUAAAUUUGAAACAAUACAGAGAAGAUUAGCAUGGCCCUUGUGCAAGGAUGACAUGCAAGUUUGUGAAACAUUUCAUAUUUUA
This is a small nuclear RNA of Otolemur garnettii (small-eared galago), 107 nucleotides long. Lineage: Eukaryota; Metazoa; Chordata; Mammalia; Primates; Galagidae. The record is from Ensembl.